CAAGCGUUGUUCGGAAUUACUGGGCGUAAAGGGCUCGUAGGCGGCCAACUAAGUCAGACGUGAAAUCCCUCGGCUUAACCGGGGAACUGCGUCUGAUACUGGAUGGCUCGAGUUUGGGAGAGGGAUGCGGAAUUCCAGGUGUAGCGGUGAAAUGCGUAGAUAUCUGGAGGAACACCGGUGGCGAAGGCGGCAUCCUGGACCAAUACUGACGCUGAAUAGCGAAAGCCAGGGGAGCAAACGGG
This 242-nucleotide ribosomal RNA is filed under the name uncultured bacterium. RNAcentral's name for it is "partial 16S ribosomal RNA". It matches the Rfam family "Bacterial small subunit ribosomal RNA", at positions 535 to 776 of the family's 1533-position model. The record is from RNAcentral.